This is a non-coding RNA of Mycena vulgaris, 85 nucleotides long. Lineage: Eukaryota; Fungi; Basidiomycota; Agaricomycetes; Agaricales; Mycenaceae. The record is from the annotation of a GenBank genome assembly.
GGCUACUAUGAAUCAGUGGUUAGAUCGCCUGCCGGAUGAUUAGUUUCGACGGCUGGAGGCCGGGGAUCGAUUCCCCGUAGUGCCA